UACGGAGGGUGCAAGCGUUGUUCGGAAUUAUUGGGCGUAAAGCGCGUGUAGGCGGUCGUUUAAGUUCACUGUGAAAGCUCAGGGCUCAACCCUGAAACUGCAGCGAAAACUGGAUGACUUGAGUGUUGGAGAGGAAAGCGGAAUUCCUGGUGGAGCGGUGAAAUGCGUAGAUAUCAGGAAGAACACCAGUGGCGAAGGCGGCUUUCUGGACAACAACUGACGCUGAGACGCGAAAGCGUGGGUAG
RNAcentral lists this ribosomal RNA (245 nucleotides) under uncultured Pseudomonadota bacterium. RNAcentral's name for it is "uncultured proteobacterium partial 16S ribosomal RNA". It matches the Rfam family "Bacterial small subunit ribosomal RNA", at positions 524 to 768 of the family's 1533-position model. The record is from RNAcentral. Lineage: Bacteria; Pseudomonadati; Pseudomonadota.